GGUGAGUAAUAUAUCGGAACGUGCCUUGUAAUGGGGGAUAACUAGUCGAAAGAUUAGCUAAUACCGCAUACGCCCUGAGGGGGAAAGUAGGGGAUCUUCGGACCUUACGUUAUAAGAGCGGCCGAUAUCUGAUUAGCUAGUUGGUGGGGUAAUGGCCUACCAAGGCUUCGAUCAGUAGCUGGUCUGAGAGGACGACCAGCCACACUGGAACUGAGACACGGUCCAGACUCCUACGGGAGGCAGCAGUGGGGAAUUUUGGACAAUGGGCGCAAGCCUGAUCCAGCCAUUCCGCGUGAGUGAAGAAGGCCUUCGGGUUGUAAAGCUCUUUCGCAAGGGAAGAAAACUUACAUUCUAAUAAAGUGUGAGGCUGACGGUACCUUGAUAAGAAGCACCGGCUAACUACGUGCCAGCAGCCGCGGUAAUACGUAGGGUGCGAGCGUUAAUCGGAAUUACUGGGCGUAAAGCGUGCGCAGGCGGUUUUGUAAGUCAGAUGUGAAAUCCCCGAGCUCAACUUGGGAACUGCGUUUGAAACUACAAGACUAGAAUAUGUCAGAGGGGGGUAGAAUUCCACGUGUAGCAGUGAAAUGCGUAGAGAUGUGGAGGAAUACCAAUGGCGAAGGCAGCCCCCUGGGAUAAUAUUGACGCUCAUGCACGAAAGCGUGGGGAGCAAACAGGAUUAGAUACCCUGGUAGUCCACGCCCUAAACGAUGUCUACUAGUUGUUGGUGGAGUAAAAUCCAUGAGUAACGCAGCUAACGCGUGAAGUAGACCGCCUGGGGAGUACGGUCGCAAGAUUAAACUCAAAGGAAUUGACGGGGGCCCGCACAAGCGGUGGAUUAUGUGGAUUAAUUCGAUGCAACGCGAAAACCUUACCUGGCCUUGACAUGCCACUAACGAAGCAGAGAUGCAUUAGGUGCCCGUAAGGGAAAGUGGACACAGGUGCUGCAUGGCUGUCGUCAGCUCGUGUCGUGAGAUGUUGGGUUAAGUCCCGCAACGAGCGCAACCCUUGCCAUUAAUUGCCAUCAUUUAGUUGGGCACUUUAAUGGGAC
RNAcentral lists this ribosomal RNA (1048 nucleotides) under Methylophilus methylotrophus. RNAcentral describes it as "bacterial SSU rRNA". It matches the Rfam family "Bacterial small subunit ribosomal RNA", at positions 105 to 1149 of the family's 1533-position model. The record is from RNAcentral. Lineage: Bacteria; Pseudomonadati; Pseudomonadota; Betaproteobacteria; Nitrosomonadales; Methylophilaceae.